GCCCUUCCUACGGGAGGCAGCAGUGAGGAAUAUUGCGCAAUGGGCGAAAGCCUGACGCAGCGACGCCGCGUGGGGGAUGAAGGUUUUCGGAUUGUAAACCCCUUUCAUGAGGAAAGAUAAAGUGGGUAACCACUUAGACGGUACCUCAAGAAGAAGCCACGGCUAACUUCGUGCCAGCAGCCGCGGUAA
RNAcentral lists this ribosomal RNA (189 nucleotides) under uncultured bacterium. RNAcentral's name for it is "partial 16S ribosomal RNA". It matches the Rfam family "Bacterial small subunit ribosomal RNA", at positions 332 to 523 of the family's 1533-position model. The record is from RNAcentral.